AUUGAACGCUGGCGGCGUGCUUAACACAUGCAAGUCGAGCGGCAGCGCGGUAGCAAUACUGGCGGCGAGCGGCGAACGGGUGAGUAAUGCUUCGGAAUCUUCCUAGUAGUGGGGAAUAACCUGGGGAAACUCAGGCUAAUACCGCAUACGACCUAAGGGUGAAAGCAGGGGAUCGCAAGACCUUGCGCUCAGAGAUGAGCCUAAGUUGGAUUAGCUAGUUGGUGGGGUAAAGGCCUACCAAGGCGACGAUCCGUAGCUGGUCUGAGAGGACGACCAGCCACACUGGGACUGAGACACGGCCCAGACUCCUACGGGAGGCAGCAGUGGGGAAUAUUGGACAAUGGGGGCAACCCUGAUCCAGCGACGCCGCGUGUGUGAAGAAGGCCUGCGGGUUGUAAAGCACUUUUAGUGGGGACAAAAAGCCCUGGGUUAAUACCCUUGGGUCUUGAUCUAACCCAAAGAAAAAGCACCGGCUAACUCUGUGCCAGCAGCCGCGGUAA
Molecule: ribosomal RNA, 500 nt
Filed under: uncultured bacterium
Lineage: Bacteria
Description: partial 16S ribosomal RNA
Rfam family: Bacterial small subunit ribosomal RNA
Source: RNAcentral